Molecule: ribosomal RNA, 33 nt
Filed under: Colletotrichum fructicola
Lineage: Eukaryota; Fungi; Ascomycota; Sordariomycetes; Glomerellales; Glomerellaceae
Description: partial 18S ribosomal RNA
Source: RNAcentral
UCCGUAGGUGAACCUGCGGAGGGAUCAUUACUG